This 697-nucleotide long non-coding RNA is filed under the name Struthio camelus australis. RNAcentral describes it as "lncRNA (ENSSCUG00000010549.1)". The record is from RNAcentral. Lineage: Eukaryota; Metazoa; Chordata; Aves; Struthioniformes; Struthionidae.
AUAAAUGAAAAUAAUUGUACUUAUUUUCAGGUCUUCAGUGCAGUCUUCCAGAAAAAAAUUAAGCGGACUGAAGAAUCAGGAGAUGCUCAGUGGCGUAUCUGUAACCUAACAGAAGCUGUCACCUACUCCACCUUUCUUUUCACACGCCAAGGACUUUUUGAAAAGGAUAAGCUCAUUUUCCUGGCCCCAAAAAGCUUUUCAGCGCUGAACCAGCUCCAACUCCAGAAGAGCACAUCGUUCCUCAAGGAAUAUUAGAGAACUCAAUUAAAGUUGCCAGUGAACCUCCUACAGGGAUGCUAGAUAAUUUACAUGCUACACUCUACAGUUUUGACCAGGAUACCCUUGAACUGUGCACCAGAGAUAAAAUAGCAGCCUUUUUCUCUGUGCUAUUUUCCCACUUGCAUUGCUGGGAGACUCAAGUUUGGCCUUCAAGGCUGGAAUUGCAGAUACCCAGUCAGUACUGGAGACCUCACCGUCUGUGUCAACGUCCUCUGCAGCUAUUUAGAGAUGCACACGAAGGCAAGAAGUAGUGGUCAGGUAACCACGCACGAAGGUGAUUUUGACUUGGUCAACUGUUUAUACUGAAUAACGGGGACAUCAUUUUUCUCUGAAGCUGUUAUUUAAGUAGCUGACAUUAUAUGAUCCUAUUGCUGAGUACGAAAAUAAACCAGAUCAAAGGGUGGGGGGUCUUUUGGCA